AUGUUCUUCUUUCCUGCUAGGUCUUUUCUUGCCUAUUUUCUUAGCGGAAGAAUGCUCUCCUCUUCCCUAUGGCUGGGUCUCCACGUAGUGGGCAGAUCUAGACUGUCCACGGAGCACGCCGACCAUCCUUUCUUCUCAUCUUAUAUUCCUGCCUUCCUCUUUCCAUCUCUUCCUCCUGAGUCCAAGAAAGAAGACAAGAUUAUGGGGGAAGCACAUAAUACACUUCAUAAUGAAACCAUGGGACCCACUCCUUUGUACCUAUUAACAAAUGAAUAUAUUUAUUUUGAUGCUGCUAUUGUCUAUGUACAGACAGAAGAUCUGACCAAUAGGACGCGAUGGUGGUAUGACGGGGUUUCUGACCGUAACACCAUCAGAAUACCAUCAAAACAACAUUCUGAUUCUCAGCUGUCACCAUUGGCUUUUUUUCUCUCUUUCCCUCCCCAGCUUUAUUGUGGUAUGACUGACAAAUAAAAAUGUAUACAGUUAAGAUAUAUGAUGUGAUGUUUUGAUAUACAUAUACAUUGUGAAAUAAUUACCAUGGGUAAGCUAAUUAGCCUAUUUGGCACCUUUUUUUGGUGUGUGGUAGGAAUAUUUAAGAUAUAGUCCAUUAGCAAAUUUCAGGUAUACAGUAUAUUAACUAUUAGCUAUAGUCACCAUGGUGUACAUUAGGUUUUCAUCAUUGACUUUCUAAGAGUCAAAUUCAAUGAUUUCAUAUGAGUUUUGAUUCUCUCUGAUCUCUGCGUAAUACAUUUGAUUCUCUUAGCCAGUCCCUCCUUCCUGAAAUGCUUUACUUGGCUUUUUAGGCUUUUUAUGCUCAAUUACUUUACUAGUUACUUACUGUAACUCAAAUCUUUUGGUUUUAUUGCCCAGGAUUUAUUUGCUGGUCUUCAGGUAAAAGAUUUCUUAUGAGAACCCCUACAAUCUCAGCUCAUCAGAUUUACUUCUGCUAACAGCUCAAGAUGUGGGCACUGAUUGGCCUGCAGAUAUGAGUGAAGUAGGAAAAUGGGAGCUUGGAGCUUGCCGUAGCUAUUUGGCUACCACAUGGAAUUUGAGAGUGGAGCCUAAGUGUCAAGAAGCAGAGUGGAGAGAUGGAGCUCUUGGUGACAUACGGGCCUAUUAUAAACAUUUCAGAGAGAAGAGCCAAUAGAUCCUCCUUCUCCCCCAGGAUUUUGACUUAAACCGGUUUGAUUUAGGUUUUCUUCCUUUUACAAUCUAAACAACACUAAAACAGCCUGUGUUUUACUGUCCAUAGAGAAAAUUCUAGAAAGAUACAUUUCAAAGUGAUAGGUGUGCUUAUCUCUGGAGAAAGGGGACUGUCAUGAUGGGAGAGUUGUUUUGAUGGUAUUCUGGUGGUAUUAUGCUCAAAAAACCCUCUCUCAUUUCCCUUUUCUACAGUGGAUACUUAGUGUUCCUGGAGGUUGUAAAACAAAUAAAACAUGUACUUAAAACUUGGGCUUUCGAACU
This 1464-nucleotide long non-coding RNA is filed under the name Sus scrofa (pig). RNAcentral describes it as "lncRNA (ENSSSCG00015060794.1)". The record is from RNAcentral. Lineage: Eukaryota; Metazoa; Chordata; Mammalia; Artiodactyla; Suidae.